GAAUGAGUUGUCUGAAUGUGGCAAGCAGGGCCUUUCAGUGAAACCCAAAAUGGGUAAUGCAUUGCUAUUUUGGAGCACAAGGCCUGAUGCAACUCUAGAUCCUUCAAGUUUGCACGGUGGUUGUCCUGUGAUUAUAGGCAACAAGUGCUCAGCUACAAAGUGGAUGCAUCUAGGGGAGUACAAGGUCUGAGCCAUUAUUAGUAAAGGAUAGGCGAACAAGUAUCAUGUGGAUCAUUUGUGCUGGCAUAUAUGGUGAAUGUCCAGACACAGAGUGGCACAUUCCUGAUCCCUCAACGGUAGAAAUAGCAUAGAAAAGUUUUACAAUUUAGGCAUAGCGAUUUUAUUUUAUUUUAAUUUUGUUUCUUAUUUCAUGGGCCCGUUUUAGCCUUCUAACUGGGAUUUAGGUCGUAAGUUGUUACUUGGUGGUCCAAAACAGAUAUGUUUUUUCUUCUUGUACUUACAAAUUUAGUUGGGUAUAACGAGGGGAUGUCUUCUGGGCAAAGCUUCACUCCCAAUAGGUAAAUUGUGAACGAACAAAAUAAUUGCUGGAUUAUAAGUCGUCAGACUUUUCUUCACCAGGGAUGCCCGCGUAUUUUUCAGUUGUUGGAAGCCUGGUGCCUAGAAUUAAUUAGAACCGACAUCGAGUGAAAUAUGCCAAGAAGCAAAAAAAAAAAAAA
Molecule: unclassified non-coding RNA, 677 nt
Filed under: Hevea brasiliensis (rubber tree)
Lineage: Eukaryota; Viridiplantae; Streptophyta; Magnoliopsida; Malpighiales; Euphorbiaceae
Source: RNAcentral